UCAAUCACGCCUAGCUCGCCAGCGAUGCCGCCGAUCAAUCGAUCCAUCGAGGCGCACCUCACCGUCACCGUUGCUAAGCUCCCACCUCAUGGCAGCCGAGGGCAGCCAAGAGCAAACCCUAAAGCCUUAGCUGCAACGUCCCAGCCGUCCGGAUCGAGGCAACCUGCCACGCCUGGUGCGCGACCUGGCCCACCUCCCCGCUAUAAAUCGGCACGGCCGGUGCACGCCUCUCCUCCUCGAUCCCUCGCCAAACCAAGCGGCCGAAACACCCAAGCAGUUGUUCGCGUCUCUCUCGCCGUCUCGGCCGUGGUCGCGAGGAUAAGUGGGUUGGGUUGUGGCGUGCGGGCGGGCGGGGUGGUGCCGGCAGGGCGGGGCGGGCGCGCGCGGUGACAGAAGAGAGUGAGCACACGGCCCGGCGUUACGGCACCGGCGCGGAUGUGUGCCGUCGCGGCCGCGUGCUCACUGCUCUUUCUGUCAUCCGCUGUCCCCCCCCCCCACCUCAUACCAUACGGGCUCUCGCUCACCGCCGGCCGGUGCCCCUCCGCCACGCCCUAGCCAGCCCGACCCCUAGCCUCGCGCUGUGUCCACAGACCUCUGCAUGAACUCGUACCAUGUUCUUUGGGUCGUUCAUCUUCUUUCAUGCACGAAUCAGCCGCCCUCUCUCAUAUUCUUGGAUUUGCUCGAUCUUUCGGUCCUCUUUUAUCUUCAUGGCACUGUUUGAUUUGAUUGAUGGGAACGGGGAAUGUGAUUUUCUCGAUCUCCCAGGAUAAAAUCGAGGUGUUUUGGUGUUUCUUCUUGCUGGUGUCUGUAUUUGGUCGUGGUUUUCCCUCCCUUGGGCUUCCUGGCCUCGUACGACGCCCUCCUCCGUUCAUCUCUUCCGAGGAGCGGCAAAAACCAUUAGGGGGAAGUACCACACCACAUUUUUUUUAACUCCCUUCUCGGGAAGGAAAUGCGUGGUACUUACUACUGUGCCAUUGAUGGGUCUUGGAACCCGGGAUGUGGUAGCAGCAUCGUCCAAUCGUCCAAGGAAUCUACCGGAUGCAUGGAUCCGUGAUCCCGUCCAUUUUUUUUUUCUUUCACCAGAUCUAUUUACUAGUUCUGCUUCUUACUUGAUUACUUCCUCCUCUUCCUGUUCUUUCUUGCUUUCCUCUUUCGUUUUCAGGUCACUGUUAAGCACCAGAGCUCACAGGCAGUACAGUGUGGACGAGAUGAGAGAAAGAAAAGGAGGCCAUGACGAACCGAGGAAGAACAAGAACACAUGGAAUUUUGAGGGGAAGGGCUCACUACGGAGACACGGUUCGCAGAUCUGGCGCUGCCUUUUCCGCGCCUUAUCAUCGAUCGAUCGCCACCGUGGUAUAUAUGUUCUCGUGAUGGAUGUCAUGAUCAUGAAACAUCCAUGGAGCUGCUGAUGUUGGACGCUUACAGCGGCUUCGUUUGAAAACUGAAAUUCGAGGGAGGAAGGACACAUGGUUUUACUUGGCGCCAUGCAUACUGUACUGCUACUGCCACAACAGAAAAGGAGCUGAGCAGGCGACGUGCAUGGCGAGCGUGGCGAGGGAACCGGUCAGCAACAAACUUUGGGUAUUUUUGUUUUCUUUGUUCACUCUUAUCUACUAACCUUAUUUGGUAAGAUUAGGUUAGACAAAUCUUGCUAGAAGAGGAGAGCUAAUUUGGCUCUCUUAAAAGCAAGAAAAUUCUUACCCAUCUUGCCCAUAUUCAAACAAAGCAAAUGAACCAAACAUGCAAGGUUAGCCAAGGGUGGGCAAAGGAUCCAAACAUUUUAUUGCCAACACCCCGCCGCGGUCGAUGCGUCCGGAAGGCCGAUGCAGAGACUGGACUUGAUCCAAGCAAAUUGCCAAAGCAAUUGACGGAACUCGUUGAACGUCGUAGUUUGGAGGCCCUUCAUCAUGAUAUUUGCGAAUUGCUGACGGGUAGGAACGUGCAGAACACGCAGAGCGCCGUUGUCCACCUUCUCUUGGAUGAAGUGUAUGUCCAGUUCUAUGUGCUUGGUCUACCCAUGAUGCAUAGGGGCUGCCAUGUAAACUGCAUAUAUAAGUUGCAGCGGACUUCACCGAGCAAUUGUUGAAGCCAAAUGCACUCAUCGACCGUGUUAGCGACGGUGCAAUAUUCGGCUUCUGCGCUCAAUCAGGAUAUGGACAGUUGUUGCUUUGAAGACCAAGAGUACACCAAAGACGCACCAAGACAUACGCAAUAGCCUGACGUCGAUCUUCGAGUGUAGUUCUCUUCUGGUCGUUUUACUAAGCAUUUUUAGUU
Long non-coding RNA from Phragmites australis (common reed), 2274 nucleotides. RefSeq lists it as uncharacterized. The record is from RefSeq and is a predicted model, not a curated record. Lineage: Eukaryota; Viridiplantae; Streptophyta; Magnoliopsida; Poales; Poaceae. The transcript has 3 exons.